AUUGAACGCUGGCGGCAUGCUUUACACAUGCAAGUCGAACGGCAGCGCGGGCUUCGGCCUGGCGGCGAGUGGCGAACGGGUGAGUAAUACAUCGGAACGUGCCCAGUAGUUGGGGAUAGCUCGGCGAAAGCCGGAUUAAUACCGCAUACGACCUGAGGUUGAAAGCGGGGGAUCUUCGGACCUCGCGCUAUUUGAGCGGCCGAUUGCAGAUUAGCUAGUUGGUUGGGUAAAGGCCUACCAAGGCGACGAUCUGUAGCUGGUCUGAGAGGACGACCAGCAAACCUGGAACUGAGACAGGGCCCAGCCCCCUCGGGGGGGAAGCAGUGGGGAAUUUUCGACAAUGGGCGAAGGCCUGAUCAGGAACUGCCGGGUGUGUGAUGAAGGCCUUCGGGUUGUAAAGCACUUUUGGAGGGAACGAAAAGGACUGUGCCAAUACCACGGUUCGAUGACGGUACCAGCAGAAUAAGCACCGGCUAACUACGU
Molecule: ribosomal RNA, 483 nt
Filed under: uncultured bacterium
Lineage: Bacteria
Description: partial 16S ribosomal RNA
Rfam family: Bacterial small subunit ribosomal RNA
Source: RNAcentral